GUCUCCGUAGCUCAGCUGGAUAGAGUGUCUCCCUCCUAAGGAGAAAGUCGCAGGUUCGAAUCCUGCCGGGGACACCA
This 77-nucleotide transfer RNA is filed under the name Gammaproteobacteria bacterium. RNAcentral describes it as "tRNA-Arg". It matches the Rfam family "tRNA". Rfam says of the family: Transfer RNA (tRNA) molecules are approximately 80 nucleotides in length. Their secondary structure includes four short double-helical elements and three loops (D, anti-codon, and T loops). Further hydrogen bonds mediate the characteristic L-shaped molecular structure. tRNAs have two regions of fundamental functional importance: the anti-codon, which is responsible for specific mRNA codon recognition, and the 3' end, to which the tRNAs corresponding amino acid is attached (by aminoacyl-tRNA synthetases). tRNAs cope with the degeneracy of the genetic code in two manners: having more than one tRNA (with a specific anti-codon) for a particular amino acid; and 'wobble' base-pairing, i.e. permitting non-standard base-pairing at the 3rd anti-codon position. The record is from RNAcentral. Lineage: Bacteria; Pseudomonadati; Pseudomonadota; Gammaproteobacteria.